Molecule: ribosomal RNA, 253 nt
Filed under: uncultured bacterium
Lineage: Bacteria
Description: partial 16S ribosomal RNA
Rfam family: Bacterial small subunit ribosomal RNA
Source: RNAcentral
UACGAAGGGGGCUAGCGUUGCUCGGAAUCACUGGGCGUAAAGGGUGCGUAGGCGGGUCUUUAAGUCAGAGGUGAAAUCCUGGAGCUCAACUCCAGAACUGCCUUUGAUACUGAGGAUCUUGAGUUCGGGAGAGGUGAGUGGAACUGCGAGUGUAGAGAUGAAAUUCGUAGAUAUUCGCAAGAACACAAGUGGCGAAGGCGGCUCACUGGCCCGAUACUGACGCUGAGGCACGAAAGCGUGGGGAGCAAACAGG